This 2467-nucleotide long non-coding RNA is filed under the name Homo sapiens (human). RNAcentral describes it as "HSALNT0249607". The record is from RNAcentral. Lineage: Eukaryota; Metazoa; Chordata; Mammalia; Primates; Hominidae.
GCUCUAUAGAGAGAUGCAUGACAGAGGGAGGUAGAGGGAGAGAUGCCCUGAUCUCAUUUUUCUCUUUCUCACCAAUCUCUAGCCAAGGCCAUCACUGGCCAAGCCCAUCUAAAAGCCAGAGGCAGCAAGCAGUGCCCGUUGAAACAUCCAUAAAAGGUUAUAUAUCCUCUGCCUCUCCUACGGAGCUCAUCCCUACCAAGCCUGCUCCUGCAGAGGGAUGCAACUUUCCGACCCACUGACAUCUGUCUUGGUCAUAUGACUUGCUUUGGUCAAUGAAAUGUGGUGUAAAAAGGUGGAGGCUUUGAGAGCCAUUGCCUGGUUCUGCCUUGUUCUUUUCUUUGGGUCACAAGGACGGCAGCUUCCCAGGUACAAUCUGCUCUCUCAGUGUGCAUCUUGAUAUGAAGACAUCAUGAAGGAAAGCAGAGCUGACUGACUGGCAAAAACAUAACUGUGGAUAGAACCCAAAGAGAAAACAAAGCCCAAACAGUCUCAGCUCCUUUACUCUAUGCGACCAAUGGCAUUUCAACCUCCCUCUACAGUUUGAUACCUUCUUCUAUAGUUACAGAAUUCUUAACUUUGUUUUGACCUGGAUCCAUGGCCACCCAAAAUAAAGACUAUAUUUCUAAGCCUCUGAUGCCACUAGGUAUAGCCACCUGACUAAACUGUGGUCAAUGUGAAUGAAGCAGAAAUGGUGUACACAAGUUCCGGGAAGUGUGCUUAAAGAGGGUUCUUCACUUUUCUCCCAUGUGCUGGUUAGAAUGUGGGGACGGCAGCUAGGUAGCUAGAACUAGGACAUGAGGACAGUGUGGGAAUGGAACUCAACCAUGGAAGAAAAACAAGGAAGAGGGAACUGGGGACCAUGCUGCGGAUGAAUCAUCAUGUUGAUCUUGGAAUGCCCAUUUUAGGAUUAAGCCACUGUUAUUCUGAGUUCUCUGCCACCUGAUGCUAAAUCCUAUCCUAUUAGAAAUGGUGCUCAUAACAGAUGGUGGUGAGAGGUCCAGGGUGAAGGUGCAACAGAGAGACAAAGGGAUAUGGCUAUGAUGUAGUUGGGAAAUGGGGUUUUGCAACAUUUUACAAGUGUCAUGGGGGUUGUGGGCUUACCUCUGCAAACCCUAUGUAUUGAGGGAAAUGGAAAUGAAGCAGUUCCUGGUUAUGAAAACUGCCCAUUUAAUGUUAGGACAAAAGACUUAGAUUCCUACACACUCUUGCUCUUCCUGAACCUUGCUCUACAUUCUCUACAACAUGGGAAGUGUCAAAACAGAGUAAAACUAUCUCAAUUCUGCCCCAGCAACAAACACAAAAUAUGCUGUCAUUUGAACUCUUUGCUUAACAAAGGCACAUGAGUGAAAUCCAUAGUGAUCACUUUACUCACUCAACCAAACAUGUAAGAAACACUUCCCUAGGCCCCUUUAAAACCCAAGAAGAAGACAAGUCAUAUUGACAUCUGAUCCACUGACCUUGUCUUCAGGUGGUGCUCCUUCAUUAUUCCAAGGAUGCAGCAUCUCUAUGGUGCCAGGUAUGGGGGUAAAGCCUUUGGCGCCCUUUCCGCAAUGGCACAUCAGCAGUAAAAGUGGUACCACUGUACAGACACAAAAUUGAACACAGAUAAGGUUAACCUUGAUAUAUUUCUAAAUUUAUAUUGCACAAUUUUGGAAUUUGCAUGUCCCUUCCUGGACUUGUCUUCACUUAUUUACAGCUCUAUUUUUCUUUUCUUCACCCUGAUCCAACCUUACCAAGCUUGUUUUGGGUGAAUUACUCCAAAACCCGAAGGCAGGAUGAGGGAGUCUUACAGAUUCAAGGCCUUGUUCAUCAAAAAGAGGCUGUCUGUGGCUGCUGAGUGGAAUACCAAGACUAGGUUCAGAUAGUAUCCAAAUCAUCAAAACCAGCUUAAAGAUUAAUUUUUUUAAAACUAUGGUCCAAUUAAAAAAAAAUCACUGUUGCAAAAAUAUAUGUACUAUUGAAAACAGUAAUUAGAAAUAAUAAAGUGAAACAUAUAACAAUUUCAGAGCCCUCUUCUUAGAUUUUAUUUUACCCCUAGGAGGAAGCAAAGACCAAGGCUGACCCCUUGAUCAAUGUAGUAAAGAAUUAAACACACCUGCAUGCCCAUCUGCCACUCCCAUUUGGCAGCUUCCAAUGAUGAACUGGCUACUGCCUAGAUUCGUUUUUAUGUCAAACAGUCAACAGCACAUUAACUACAGCUACUACGAUUAAUAAGAAGACUGAAAUCAGCCAGUGGCAAUUCAACAAUUUUAACAAACAUUCAUCAAGUGUCUAUUAUGUGCCAAGUACCACAUUAGGCUCCAGGGAAUCUGAGAUGAGAAAGCAGUGCAAGGAAUCCCUGAGCAAAAGAUACAGUCCCAGCUCCAGUACCUACCUACAAACUUGGUAAGCUGAGACAAGUCAUUUACCGUUAUGUAUCUGUAUAUGUAGCCAUAGCAUGGAGAUGAUGGUAUAAAAGUACACUGCA